This is a long non-coding RNA of Gopherus evgoodei (Goodes thornscrub tortoise), 969 nucleotides long. RefSeq lists it as uncharacterized. The transcript is spliced from 3 exons. The record is from RefSeq and is a predicted model, not a curated record. NCBI's taxonomy places the organism in Eukaryota, Metazoa, Chordata, Testudines, Testudinidae.
CGACACAGAGAGCCGCGGACAUCGAUGCCGUGCCGUCCAGACGGGAGUGCCCUCCUCCUACCCUCUCCCCAACCUUCUGCAAGCACUCAGAGACAAGAAAAAAUUAGAAUAGGUAAAUGGGAAUAGAAACAAGAUUGCUUAUUUCCAUGAUACCAUGUGGCUCUGUAUAUAAUGUACGUCCAUCAUUAUUUAGUCCUAAAUCACCCACUGAAAUGGAAAAGGCUUUGCUCUGAUUAGUUUAAAAAGAGCACCCAAACACUCAUCCCUCAUCCCCAUUAACCGGAGUGGCUGUAGCAUUGAAUGCUUCAGUGUGUAGUGAGUCAGUUAUGGGCGGACAAGGUCCCUGUCACAUAUCACCCUCCUUGUCUAGAAAAAGCUACAGAACAAACAAAAAAAGCUGUUGCCCUUAGUGACAGUGCUCUGGCAGGACAAAGGAUUUGCCACAGAUGAUGCCUGAAUUGGAAGAUAAAAGUGAUAGAAAUGGCUAUCUGUGGCAAGUGGGAAAUCCCCACCUAGGAGAACAAAGGGGGGACAGGUAUCAGAGCAGGAACUUCAAAAGAAAAAGACACAGGCUUUUUGUGAGGGGUGAGGGGAGAGAACUAUUUUGACAUGAGACCAGCCAAAGACAAAGAACGCUGUCUAGAGGAGAGAGAGUAAACAUCCUGAUUCAGAAGAGACUCAUGAGCUAUAGCUGGGUGAUCCUGGACACCAGUUCUAUGGUAUUUUAGGUAUCUUCAGGGCCAAAGAAAGAUGGUGAUGGCCCUUCUGGUUGGGAAAUCUCACUUGUACAGUGGAAGAAAUUCUGAAGACUAGAGGAGGAUGCGACCUAUGUCUAUCUGCAUUGGCAGAAAGUUACAAAAGGCUUCAUCCACAUGCAGCGAGGAAAGAAAAAAAAAUGUUGCUUCUGGUAAUGUUGGGAUGGGACUCCAGCUGUAUAUCAAACCAUUUUAAAAAAACCCAAACACCCAC